Hemiscyllium ocellatum (epaulette shark) is the source of this 927-nucleotide long non-coding RNA. RefSeq lists it as uncharacterized. Lineage: Eukaryota; Metazoa; Chordata; Chondrichthyes; Orectolobiformes; Hemiscylliidae. The transcript has 4 exons. The record is from RefSeq and is a predicted model, not a curated record.
GGAGAGAGACAUGCAGCUGCUUUCUCCGGCAGCGGCUGCGAUCGGCUUCAGAGAGCGGCGCUCAGAGCAGGGGUGUGGGAGCCUCGCUGGGAGAAAGGAGCGGAGAGAAUUCACAAGUCCCCGCCACAUCCCCCUGCUGUUCCGAAGCAUCACCUUUUCUAUUUGGAUUUGGAAAACACUUUGCUGUGGGGAUAUCGUGCAGACCAGGUACUCAGGGAGGUCUUAAUUCAAUAGACUUCCCAAUUGCGGUGUGUCUCGUCCAUCACCACAUUGAAGAUGGUUGGUCAGCCACAGAGACACAGGGCAGGGAGAUCUGGAGCCUUCAAUAAAUCCUGCAGUGAGGUGCAUCAAUCCACUGGCUGCUUCCUGUAUCCCCUGAUUCUGGAAUAGACCAAUCGAUGCCUUGACUAUCUCUGCAGUCAGUUGCCUGAAAAAUGUUUAUUCCAAGCCAUUAGGUCCUGUCUACCUUUAGUCCUAUUAGUUGGUCAAUACUUUGUCCCUUGUGACAAAAACUGUUAAAACAUUUUUCUAUCCAUGAUUAACUUGCUUAUUUGUUACCUUUAGGAUGAUACCGCUAUCCUCUUCAUGAAGAUCAAUGUAAAAUAUAGGUUUACAUUAUCUGCUAUUUCUUUGUACUCAUUAUCAAUUCCACAGUCAGACCCUCCAAGGGUUCGAUGCUGACUUAAGAUACUCAAUGUUUAUGUACCUGUACAACUCUUGCUAUUCAUUUUUGUUUCUUGUCAAUUUAAUUACAUGAUCAGUUUUCUCCCUUUUUAGUCAUCCGCUGCUAUGUCAUUCUUUUCCUUGUGGGUACUGCCCUUGACUGCCUUUGUUACCCACGGGUGGUUUACCUUCCUCUUCGAGUUCUCCUUUUUGUCUCAAAUUAACUUUUGCUAAGAAUUAAUGUAAAACAAAACCCCAGCUUAU